Long non-coding RNA from Diabrotica virgifera virgifera (western corn rootworm), 502 nucleotides. RefSeq lists it as uncharacterized. The record is from RefSeq and is a predicted model, not a curated record. Lineage: Eukaryota; Metazoa; Arthropoda; Insecta; Coleoptera; Chrysomelidae. The transcript is spliced from 3 exons.
GUGAAUACAGUUGUCUGUGUUUUAAAGUUGUCUAUUUAAAUUAAAAUAUUGAUAUUCUUUUGAUUAUACAGGUUUACAAAAAAAUACAUUUCGGACUAUUUGACGAAACCAUAUGACUAGGGGGGUUUUUGGGGUCGCUGGUUACGAAUCCGGGGUUCGCUAACCUCUAUCACGUCAGGUAAAGGCCAUUUCAAGGACAAAUCAAGACAAAUCGACAGUCGCUCUGAAAAAGUAUAUUAGGAGGGUUUUGGGGUCGCUUAUAACGAAUCCAGGAUCCGCUGACCUCUAUCACGUCUAGCUGAAGGUCAUUUCGAGGUCAAAUCAAGAUAAAUCAACACAAUCGCUGUGAAAAAGUAUAUUAGGGUGUUUUUGGGGUCCCUGAUCACAAAAAUGGGGCCUGUUGAGCUCAACCACGUCAGGUAAAGGCCAUUUCAAGGUCAAAUCAAUUUUGUUAACUCCUCCUGAUUUGAACUUGAAAUGACCUUUACAUGACGUAGUAGAG